RNAcentral lists this long non-coding RNA (372 nucleotides) under Astyanax mexicanus (Mexican tetra). Its description in RNAcentral is "lncRNA (ENSAMXG00005018014.1)". The record is from RNAcentral. Lineage: Eukaryota; Metazoa; Chordata; Actinopteri; Characiformes; Acestrorhamphidae.
UAUACCUUUAAGGUACCCCUACCCUGUAGCAAUGGUAUGGCCCAAUUGAGAAAGGGGCGGAGCUACACAUAAAAAAAGAGCAGUGUAUGACAUCGUUGACAGAACCAUUUAAAGCACCAUUAUUUUUCAGGGGCAGGUGAUAAAGCAGUUAUCCAGGAGGUCAUUCUGGCCUCUAUCACAUCAGGCUGGAGGAGGGAGAGGAGGCUGUCGUUCUGCACUGAUAACACUGUGACGGACACAGAUGGCCUGGGCCGGGUCCAGCUGUACUCUGAAGGUCACUAAGAGCAGCGCAGUGUGAGAGAGACGUCAAAAGCCAUAGCCGUGAGAAGGAAGACGUUCGGUGCCCAGAGAAAUGAGUGGAUAAUAGGGGUA